Molecule: transfer RNA, 358 nt
Filed under: Microcystis aeruginosa MP05C1
Lineage: Bacteria; Bacillati; Cyanobacteriota; Cyanophyceae; Chroococcales; Microcystaceae
Description: partial 16S-23S ribosomal RNA intergenic spacer
Rfam family: tRNA (bases 135-208)
Source: RNAcentral
AAGGGAGACCUAAUUCCGGUAGGAGACGAAAAAAAAGUAGUCCCUACCAAGAAUCAAUCCCAAAAGGUCAAAGCGAGGCAAGAUUGGCUUUCAAACUAGGUUCUGGGUUCAAACAAGACCUGAAUCAGGAACAAGGGCUAUUAGCUCAGGUGGUUAGAGCGCACCCCUGAUAAGGGUGAGGUCCCUGGUUCGAGUCCAGGAUGGCCCACCUGCACAGGUGGCAAAAACAAAGAAGCGAGGAAUCAGCACCUUAUCUUACUCAUAUAGUAAGAGAGAAUGCUGGCUCUGAGUAAAGAGUCCAGAGGAACCUUGAAAACUGCAUAGAGCUAGGUGAAAAAGCCAAAAAAGAAGACCGCAA